RNAcentral lists this ribosomal RNA (254 nucleotides) under uncultured Stenotrophomonas sp. RNAcentral's name for it is "partial 16S ribosomal RNA". It matches the Rfam family "Bacterial small subunit ribosomal RNA", at positions 99 to 356 of the family's 1533-position model. Lineage: Bacteria; Pseudomonadati; Pseudomonadota; Gammaproteobacteria; Lysobacterales; Lysobacteraceae. The record is from RNAcentral.
CGGACGGGUGAGGAAUACAUCGGAAUCUACUCUGUCGUGGGGGAUAACGUAGGGAAACUUACGCUAAUACCGCAUACGACCUACGGGUGAAAGCAGGGGAUCUUCGGACCUUGCGCGAUUGAAUGAGCCGAUGUCGGAUUAGCUAGUUGGCGGGGUAAAGGCCCACCAAGGCGACGAUCCGUAACUGGUCUGAGAGGAUGAUCAGUCACACUGGAACUGAGACACGGUCCAGACUCCUACGGGAGGCAGCAGCG